This 478-nucleotide ribosomal RNA is filed under the name uncultured bacterium. RNAcentral describes it as "bacterial SSU rRNA". It matches the Rfam family "Bacterial small subunit ribosomal RNA", at positions 21 to 507 of the family's 1533-position model. The record is from RNAcentral.
GGCUCAGGAUGAACGCUGGCGGCGUGCUUAACACAUGCAAGUCGAACGAAGACAUCUGAGUGCUUGCACUUGGAUGGACUGAGUGGCGGACGGGUGAGUAACGCGUGGGUAACCUGCCUUAUACAGGGGGAUAACAGUUGGAAACGACUGCUAAUACCGCAUAAGCCCACGGGUCGGCAUCGACCAGAGGGAAAAGGAGCAAUCCGCUUUGAGAUGGCCUCGCGUCCGAUUAGCUAGUUGGUGAGGUAAUGGCCCACCAAGGCGACGAUCAGUAGCCGACCUGAGAGGGUGAUCGGCCACAUUGGAACUGAGACACGGUCCAAACUCCUACGGGAGGCAGCAGUGAGGAAUAUUGCACAAUGGGGGAAACCCUGAUGCAGCAACGCCGCGUGAGUGAAGAAGUAUUUCGGUAUGUAAAGCUCUAUCAGCAGGGAAGAAAAUGACGGUACCUGACUAAGAAGCCCCGGCUAACUACGUG